This 641-nucleotide ribosomal RNA is filed under the name fungal endophyte. Its description in RNAcentral is "eukaryotic LSU rRNA". The stretch from base 180 to 333 matches the Rfam family "5.8S ribosomal RNA". The record is from RNAcentral. Lineage: Eukaryota; Fungi.
UUAAAGAGUUCUAUAACUCCCAAACCCAUGUGAACAUACCUAACGUUGCCUCGGCAGGUCGCACCUACCUUGUAGCACCCUACCCUGUAGGGCCUACCCGGGAGGUGCGGGUAAGCCUGCCGGCGGCCCACCAAACUCUGUUUGAUAUUGAAUUCUGAACCUAUAACUAAAUAAGUUAAAACUUUCAACAACGGAUCUCUUGGUUCUGGCAUCGAUGAAGAACGCAGCGAAAUGCGAUAAGUAAUGUGAAUUGCAGAAUUCAGUGAAUCAUCGAAUCUUUGAACGCAUAUUGCGCCCAUUAGUAUUCUAGUGGGCAGGACCGUUCGAGCGUCAUUUCAACCCUUAAGCCUUCGUUGCUUAGUGUUGGGAGCCUACGGCAACGUAGCUCCUCAAAGUUAGUGGCGGAGUUGGUUCACACUCUAGACGUAGUAAUUUUUUAUCUCGCCUAUUAGUUGGACUAAUCCCCUGCCGUAAAACCCCUAAUUUAUCAAGGUUGACCUCGAAUCGGUUCAGACAAACUCGCUAAAUUGAAGCAUCUUAGUCAGCGAAGGAAAAGAAACCAACAGGGAUUGCCCUAGUAACGGCGAGUGAAGCGGCAACAGCUCAAAUUUGAAAUCUGGCCCUCGGGUCCGAGUUGUAAU